RNAcentral lists this unclassified non-coding RNA (1960 nucleotides) under Leishmania donovani. RNAcentral describes it as "gene:LdHU3.25.0860(CDS-product:hypothetical_prote in_conserved)". The record is from RNAcentral. Lineage: Eukaryota; Euglenozoa; Kinetoplastea; Trypanosomatida; Trypanosomatidae.
GAGGAGCAUGUGUGUGCUCGCGCACGUUUUCGGCGUCUCGUUUCUCACUCACGCAUCGCGCAUUUCUUUCACUUUUAAUUAUCAUCGACGAGCACGCACGGAAAAGCAGAGUGCUGAGCGACAGACAGGGGUAGGGGAGUGGGAGGCCAGUGAGGACCGAGUACGCUGCAUUGCCUCAGCGGUCUCUCUUGUAGCCCCUCACGGCUCCACCUUUACACACCCCCACGUGCGCGCAGACUCAGCUGCAUAUGAGUCACAGGGGUGUACCUUUCAAGGCCCGCGCUGGCAAAGCAGCGACAGCCGCCGCCGACGAACCUGGCAAUUCUGUUCCUCUGACCUCGCCUUCUGAUGCUUUAAACGGCCGAAAAGGUGCUGACCUCGCCACUGGCAAGGGAACCACCUCGGGGGAGGAGUUUGUGUGCGUUCGAGCUAUCGCCCAGGCGGGCAGUAGCAGUAGCGCCCAGCUGACGGUGGUGCACCGCCUCCUGAAGAGUGUCUUGGCAGCCGCAGGCAAUGUUGUUCGCGGCACCGACUCACAGCGCAAGUUCACAAGCCUAUACACAGAGUUUUGCAUCAGUGCUGUGCGUAGCUUGGCGGAUGUGGAGGACGCUGUGUACGAGCUCACUAACCCAGGCUGUCGCGCUGCCGACGCUGCAGACUGCGAAAUUGAAGGCAUCGACGAUGCCGAGUUCCUUAAACAAGUGGCCGCAUAUGUGGCGACGCACACCAGCGCCCUCGGCGUGGCAUACCUAGAGCACGUUGGUCGGUCUGCCCUCGAGAAGCUGCAGAAACAGCAACGUAAACGGGAGCGCUCCACUACCACGGGCAGCGGCAGCGCUGCCACUUCGGGCCACCGGCCGGCUAAGCUGAGUCGCACGCUCAUCGCCAGGGGUGCCGGUGCUCAAGCAGCCCAUGGCGGCGCCGCCGUUGAUAUGCAUGACAGCUCUCAUUUCGACUCUCUCGGUCUUGUGGAUGCACAGGAGACCAUGCGGUGCGCUCUGCGGGCAAUUGAGAGUGAGAAACAGACGGCUGUUUCCGCACCCACUGAUGCGGCAGCCGCGUCGCGUCGCGGUCUCCAAGCUUUUGCUGCGACGCAACUGGGACUGGGCUACUCCGAUGCCCGCCCCUCUGGUGUGUUUUUGUCCAGGGCACCUGGCGGCCUCUCCGCGGCAGCGACAACGUCGGGCGGGACGCCGCUUGGCAAUGGCACGGUCACGUACGAGCUGCGCGACCCCCAUCUGAAGCUGAGCAGCAUUCCAGAGCUGUCUGCCCGUAUGCAGCCGUGGACGAUCCCGCUGCCGUCCAGCGGCGUGUACUUGGACCGAGUGACGAUGGAGCGCGACCGCAGAGGCGGGAACGCGAGCGGCAACGAAACCAGCACCGCCACCGCGGCGGUGGAACCGACCAAGGCAGCAUUGGAGGUGUGCCUCGCACCGACGCCCAUGGAGUUCCUGCGACAGUGGGAAAGCCGUGAGGCCGCGCUUGCGGCGGAGCAGCAGCAACAGCCUUCGUCGGCCCCGGCCUUCGUCGGGGGCCCCUACAGCGUAGUUCCUUACGCCGGUAGCGGCAGCCGUGCUGGUGGGCCGUCGACCGGCGGCAGCCCGCGUUCCACGGCACCUUUGUCAACGCCCCCCCUUUGCUUGUCCCCCAACAGCAGCCCUCUCGGGCAUCACCCUCCCUUUCUGCCUGAGUCGGAGGCUCGCACCAGCGGCGCCGACGUCGACCCCAUAUCUGCAUUCUCCUCUGCCUUCUUUCCAGCGGUGCGGGACAAGCGGACCACGACAAGCCUGCCAACGUACGUGAUGGCAAACCUUUCCCACUACGGCGUGUCGAAGAUGGAGUACGUGUACACGAUGGGGCCGACGAGCAAGUGACACGUGUGUGCGCUCACUGCUCUCUGUGUUUAGCAUCCUACUGCUGCGUGUAAGACGGCCAGCGUAUAGGCGCUCGCAAGCCUCCC